CUUUAACAUAUAAAAUGAAGAUGUUUGUACUACGUUGUCAAUAAACUUUGUUGUAUUGUUUUGUCAACAUUAGAUUAAAGGUAAGUCAAAGAAAUUUCCUAAUAUUAAUACAAUGCCUUAAAUUGCAGAAGUUAUUUAUAAUAGUACGCUUAAUUAACAUUGACAUAAGAAAAGCAUAUAAUUGCGGAAAACCUUUUUAUCAAGAAAUAUAAAUAGAUUAUGUUUUCAAUAUAAAAACGACACAGACAUUUACAGCUAUAGGCCACCGUACGGCAUUCAACAAUGAGCAAAGCCCAUACCGCAUAGUCAGCUAUGACAAUGUAAAACAAUUCAAACGAGAAAACCAACGGCCUUAUUUAUAUAAAAAAAAUGAACGAAAAACAAAUAUGUAACACAUAAACAAACGACAACCACUGAAUUACAGGCUCCUGACUUGGGACAGGCACAUACAUAGAUAAUGUGGCGGGGUUAAACAUCUUAGCUGGAUCCCAACCCUCCUCUAACAUGGGUUAGUGGUAUAACAGUACAACAUAAGAACGAACUGUAAAAAUCAGUUGAAAAAGGCUUAACUCAUCAGAUGGACAAAAAUAAAAGUGGAAUUCAAUGUCUUUAUUAAUGUUAUUUGUGCACAUAGCUUAUAUCUUACUUAAAAAACAGACACUGAUUUCUCAAUACGAAUCGCGGCCUCGUAGGCCAAGUGGUCUAAAUAUUUCUACUACUGCAAUCACUAGCCGGUCAAUACUGAUGUUGUGAGUUCGAACUCCUCUCGUGCAGGUGCACUCGACUCCAAUCUUAAUUGACUAGGAUAGUUAGUUUUAGAACAGUGAUUUUUUCCGGGCACUCCGGCUUCCUUGACCCAUAAAAUCUGACCGCCACGAAAUAGUCCAAAAGUUGUGCUUUAAAGUGGCGUUAAAACACCCAAAUUCCAUCGAUCAAUCCCAUGACGAUUUACAUUUAUUGAUGUUGCUUUGAAUUGUUUUUCUGAUAUGCUAUUGCAAUAUUUUUUAUCGGUGUUUUUCUGAUUUUCAAUGUUUUGUUUGUUUUUUGCUUCAAGACCCGCUUUCCUAUCUUUAUUUCAAUUUGGUCUUCCGUAAAGAGUUGUCUCAUUGGUUACCAUACCACAUUUUCUUUUUUAUAUCAAAAUUGUUGCACGUUUUUUUGUAGGAAAUCUCUGUUUACUGAUGGUUAAGAUCUAAGACCCCUUCUGUGGCCUGUGAAUUACCGAACUGCAGUAGUAUCAAACCAGCAAAGAUAAUAAAUAAUAGAGAUGGGCCAUUCUGUACAUAUAACAAGAGGAAACCUCGUGCAAAGCAUUAUUAUUUAUAGUUUCAUUUCAUUUAAUAGAACAUGGGAAUUUAUCAAAAAUUUGUUGUAGAAAAUCCACAAGAUUUUUGUUAUUAAAUUUUAAACAUAGAUUACUGACGCGUUUUUCUAUGAUUUAUUUUUUACAAAAAGUCCUAAACAACCAAAAUUACAAAACACCUUGUGCUGAGUCACUAAGUCGAGCGCAUCCUAGAAGGUAUCCUUAAAUUGGUCCAUAUUUAUAUUUGUUUAAACCAGUAUCUAAAUUUAUAAACUUGUUUGAAGGAAAUUGUUGCUAGCACUGCAUGUAAUAAUCCUCUAUCUUUCAAGCAUUUUUAGCAUUGAAGCAACACAAGAGUACAUAAUCCUUAAUGGAUUAAUUGAAAUAACUUACAUGUAUUGUAUGUUUAUAUUGGUAACAUCAAUGAAGAACAGGAACUGAUAGCGAUCUUCUUUUAAUUACGAAAUUGGAAUGGAUUCGUUUAGCUCAAUCUAAUUUUUUUAUUUUUUUUUUAGGUUUUUAGGAUUGCCCACAAAGAGUAAGCUACGGAAGCGUAUUAGCGCCACACAUUUUUUUUUUUAAUUUUUUUUUAUUUUUCUUCCUAUGUUUGCGUUAUAACGCAAACCUUUGCGUUAUACCGCAAACCUUUUUCGUUGUAACGCAAACCUUUUGCGUUUAACGCAAACCUUUGCGAUAUAACGCAAACAUUUGCUGUUAUAACGGAAAUAUCUUGAUUUCAAUUAUUCAUUAAAUUUUGUAUAUAUGUCCGUCUGUCAUUCAUUUCGGAUGUGAUUUACUAGUAGAUAAAAAAAGAAACAUACAUACAAGGCCAAAUCAUUAUAAUAAAUAUGCAUAGGAAUAAUUGAAUAAUUGAAGUGCAAUUAUACAUAAAUUAAGACUGAUUUGUGCAUCAGAAAAGUAUAUAAUUUAACAAGAAAAUAGAUAUAGUUUAGUAUAUAGUCAUAUUAAAAUUGAAAGAUAAAAAAUAAUGUCAUACAAUUGUGAAACCAACCUCCAAGUCAAAUAGACAUAAUGAUCUUUCUGUUUUAAAAUGAAUUAUUAAUAAGGAAACAUUUUUUUUAAAUCUCAGAAUAUGAUCAAGAUUCUUUGAUAAAAAGUCAUUGAAUUUUCAUUUCAAUAUAAUGAAGUAUUUUUAAGAUGCUUGGGUAGCAAUUUGAAUAGAGAGAACAUAAUUUUAUUUAUAAAACAUCUUCAUUCUAUACAUUUAUUGCCAAAGGGUAGCUUGUUUGAAUCUUACCUACUUUACACAGUUCUCAAACGAGAGCGUAGCUUGUUUGAAUCUAACCUACUUUACACAGUUCUCAAACGAGAGCUUACUUUGGAAGUAUAUUUUUUUGGUUAUAGCUAUAUUACCAGGGUUGAUUUUUUUCUUAGGUAUAACCUCAAUUUACUCAAUUUUCUUUGUAAUAUAUAUACUAGUAGAAACAUGGAUAUCGUUUUUGGGGACCUUUAUAGUUUGUUGUUCAGUGUGAGCCAAUGCUCCGUGUUGAAGACCGUAAUUCGGCCUAUGAUGGUUUACUUUUACGAAUAGUGACUAAGAUGGAGAGUUUUCUUAUUGGCACUCAUACCACAUCUCCUUAUAUUAUUCUGCUCAUUAUUAGUCAUUGAUAUGAUCUAAUUAUUCAAGCAUUUUACUUUGCAAUUACUACAAAGGUGAUAAAUUUUAAUAUAUACAGCCUCCUCCAUUAAUAACUACGAUUUCCUUUGGAUCUUGAAUAAGAAAUAAGUCAAAACAAAUGUUUGCGUUAUAACGCAAAGGUUUGCGUUAUAUCGCAAAGGUUUGCGUUAUAACGCAAACACAAGAAGAAAAAUAAAAAAAAAAAAUGUGUGGCGCUAAUACGCUUCCGUAGUAAGCUUUACAAAAAUGACAUCUUUUUUUUAUUUUUCAAAUCAUGUUAUACAGUAUUUUUUAUCUUUCAGAUAUUACAGUUUGUAUGAAAGAUGACAACAAUGUGCAAUUCUGUUGCGAUUUUACUUCUUCUUGUUAUUAUUACGAAUCAUGGUAAAUAUCCCUAAAUUAGAAUUAUUGGUACACUUGACCACUUUAUCACUAACAACAUAUGAAAUGCAGGUUUUGAGAAAACAAUAAAAACUUACUUAUAAAAUGAAACAGCAAGCCAUAAAUUCUACAAUUCUAGACAUAUCUCCAUUCGAGCAACAAAAGACCCCACAUAAUCCAAUUAUUGACCUUCUUACUUAGUUACAAUAUACCCCACUAAAAUCCCCGUCCGCUGAUGAUAUUGUACUCAACCUACAGAAAUAAAUAUAUUGCAUUACUAGAAAUAUAAAAAGUGUAUUGUUCUUUGUAUUAAAGUGAAAAUCCAAAACCGCUACCUUUAUUUCAGGGAGGGGUAAAAAAGAUUUGCCAUUAUUUUUUUUCCUCGUGAAUUAAACAAAAAUGUCGCAAUAAUUUAAGCAAAUAUCACAUCAGAUACAACUUAAUUGUAACCAAAGUUACAUGAUAUUUUUUAUACAACUAUCCAGUCAACAAUUACUCUUCGAUUUUUAAAGUAGAUUAAAAUGUAAGGUCUGUUUUAAAAAACUUUACAAAUUAAAUUAAGACACAGAAAUAUAUAAACUUAUGCAGUUCAUGCAGAAUGCACAUAUUCAAGCUAGAUUUACAUUCUUUUCAGUUAUAAAUGUAGAAUCACGUUGCACAAGCGCCUGGGAGCGUCACUGUACAAGAUAUUGUCGAAACUCACCUAAAAAUAGCUUAAGAAGUUCCUGCUAUUAUAACGGUAAAAUAUAUCGAUGCACAUGUUAUUUAACUGACGGUAUAGCUGGAUAGUUUUAGAGGUUCGUAUUCAUUAUCAUUUAUCAUUUCCAAUGACUUUUUUUAUCAUUUAAACCCAUUUUGUUUAGCUCUCUGUAAAUUUAAAAAGACAACAACGAGAAAUAAGAUUCAUUUAUAAACUUCAAACAAGGUUUUUAUAAAUUCUUGCAUCUCAUUAUAGGUAUAGAAUGCUGUUCAAAAUACAAUUGUUCAAAAUCGGUCUCGAUUGAUUUCUGCAUGUUAUUCCAAAGUUUUAAAAUCGAAUUCACCGGUACAAUAGAAAAUCAAAUUAUAUUUUUUUGUGGUUUCUUGUUUUCUUUUGUAAAGAUAGAAAUUUGAAGGACACAAGUAUUCAUUAUUUAUUACAAAAAUAUUACUAUGAUAGUAUUAUGAUAUGAUUAUAAAACGGCCAUUGUUUGUUGUAGUUUAUGUUUCUAUUUAUAGAUUUAAAGCACGAGGAAACAACUUGUAAAACAAUUUGGAUUACUGACGCAUUCAAACGCACAUUGUUUUUACUAUUGAUUUUCAAAGUAAAACUUUAUCAUGUUUAUGUACAAAAUAUCUUCAACAUUUAUCUUACAUUAUAAUGAAUGUAAUAACAGUUAAAAAACCGGCAACGCAACAUAUGGAGCAGGAUCUGGUUACCCUUUCGGAGAUGAUCACUCUUGGUUUAUGGUAGGACUCAUCUAGACUGGUAGCCAGCCGUUAUUGAUAUUCUUCACAAUAUCAUUUGUAUAUUUCGAAGGCAUACUGGAUAUUUUACGGAGGGAAUCAACCUAGCAUUCAUCUUCAUCAGCCUUAAAGACAUAAGAAACCUCAAAU
This 4919-nucleotide long non-coding RNA is filed under the name Mytilus galloprovincialis (Mediterranean mussel). Lineage: Eukaryota; Metazoa; Mollusca; Bivalvia; Mytilida; Mytilidae. The record is from RNAcentral.